Molecule: long non-coding RNA, 427 nt
Organism: Glycine soja
Lineage: Eukaryota; Viridiplantae; Streptophyta; Magnoliopsida; Fabales; Fabaceae
Exons: 2
Source: RefSeq, a predicted model, not a curated record
CACAACAGGCUUUCUCAUUUGGCUCCUCUUAUAAAUAUCACCCACCCUUCUUCAAACACAAACACCCUUUUCAGAUUUUAUUUGUUCAAUUUCCUCCCUUCAAACGACAUCGUUUGGAAAUGAGGACUGUGAGUGUUUUCGCUCUCCCACUUGUCGCUUUGUUCAUCAUGGCAAUCUCCCGUCUUGGCCAAGCUCAAGACUUGCCUCUUUCUCCAGCACCUCCUCCAACCAGUCAUGGAAACGCAAUUGAUCAAGGAAUUGCUUACAUUCUUAUGCUGGUGGCUCUCGCAAUCACAUACAUGAUGCAUUAAUUUUUCUUAUUCUUAUUCUUAUUAUCAUGGCCAGAUUAGAGAAUAUUUCAGAACUUUUUGUACUGUAAUUAUUAUUCAUGGAAUUUGUUAUUAUUUAUUCUGACUCACUUUCUUCA